UACGUAGGGUGCGAGCGUUGUCCGGAAUUAUUGGGCGUAAAGGGCUCGUAGGCGGUUUGUCGCGUCGGAAGUGAAAACCCUGGGCUUAACUCAGUGCUUGCUUUCGAUACGGGCAGACUAGAGGUAUGCAGGGGAGAACGGAAUUCCUGGUGUAGCGGUGAAAUGCGCAGAUAUCAGGAGGAACACCGGUGGCGAAGGCGGUUCUCUGGGCAUUACCUGACGCUGAGGAGCGAAAGUGUGGGGAGCGAACAGG
Molecule: ribosomal RNA, 253 nt
Filed under: uncultured bacterium
Lineage: Bacteria
Description: partial 16S ribosomal RNA
Rfam family: Bacterial small subunit ribosomal RNA
Source: RNAcentral